Lolium perenne is the source of this 1342-nucleotide long non-coding RNA. RefSeq lists it as uncharacterized. Lineage: Eukaryota; Viridiplantae; Streptophyta; Magnoliopsida; Poales; Poaceae. The record is from RefSeq and is a predicted model, not a curated record.
CCCCGCCCUGCUCUCGUACAUCGCCGUCCGGAGCUGCAGGAGGGGCAGUGAGGCGUUGGAGCAGUAGGCCCGUCGGGCAGGCCGGACCUCCUCGUCCAAAGUUUGAAUUUUCUUGCUUUGUUCUGCAGCAUUGGCUUCCAAAUAGAUAGAAUCGAAAAAAAUCUGUACGAGACGCUUUCCAAAUUAUGCAGAGUCCAACUUGUUGUGCAGCGAUUGUUAGUUUGGUUAAUUAUUUGGGAUGUGCUUUGUUGAGCACUGCGUAAUAUUUCUGAUGCAUGGUACCAGUUCAGAAUUUCAGUGCCUUACCAUCACUUGUGUGUCAACUCAAAUCGAUUCCUUGUGAAUGUAUCUACAUGGUUGUUCAAGGAGGAGUGCUUGUUGUCCUAGAUAUUACCUACAUUAGUAUUUGUUCUUCACUGAUAUAGGGCAGCAUAGUACGUCUACUGGGAGUGUUUGCUCUGCGAUAAUGUGGUACAUCUAAUAGCAUUUUAACAUGAUGCCACCAAUUUCGGUCGAAGAAUAUGCGAGAAGCAAGCAAUCUGAUUUGUGAUGAUCUGGUUUAUGAAUUUGAUCUAGUCGCUUUUGUGUGCUUCAGAUUAGUAAUAUUAGUCAUGUAAUCUUUGUGCUAGCAAACUGUUGGUAUCUGCACCUAAGUAGUUAACUAAAUCCAAGUGUUUAAUACUAGUUUCCUGACCGGUUGCUGUAAUUAGUUACUAGCUGAAAUAGUUUUUAUGUAGGUGGACAGUGUAGUUCUAUCAGCUGCUAGUGUUCUAGCUUUAGUAUGAAAGGAGGUAGCAUUUGUAGCUAGAUAAUUUUAUCAUGUUACAGAGUUCACUUGUGCUAUUUGAUAUCCUAUCUUUCUUGAGCAGCCGGAGGAGUGGACGGGUUGGACAAGUCGGUGAACAAGUUUCCGGAGCACUAUGCCUGCCAGUCCAGCACCUUCUUUUGCUCUGUGCUGGACCUCGCCGACAUCGAUAGUCAAAGGUGCCUAUUUUGGGCUUUGCGUUUGUGACCGGACAUGUUAAUACGAGUGUCCAGGUUAUGUCGAUGGCUGGCCGGAUGUGCUCGCCUCCGGCUUCUGAGCUUCGUUCUGCGGCGGUAUAUGCCUUUAAUUUGGAGUAAGUGUUUGUUGUAGAAUCCGGGUGAGCUAGAGAAGCUUGCUGUAAUUGUACGUUUGCAUUUGUUCUUAGAUGAACUUAAUUGUGGUGGAGUGUAUCAUGUAUUGAAAUAUCUCUAGAGUGUUGCUGCUUUAUGCAUUUAAUUAUAUUUUGUGGUGUUUGAUCCUGAAACUUUGUAAGUAUAAUUGAAAAAUGCUAGGUUGCUCAUGUGACGGGUAAAAGAA